GGCUCGGUGGUGGAUGGCCCACGUCUGCUUGUCCUUGGAACUCCUUCAGGAAAUGGUAUUACAUGCAGAAGGAACCUGUCCGAUUCGGGUCCGAGCCA
Non-coding RNA from Mycena metata, 98 nucleotides. Lineage: Eukaryota; Fungi; Basidiomycota; Agaricomycetes; Agaricales; Mycenaceae. The record is from the annotation of a GenBank genome assembly.